AACAAACCUGUCAUUGGUACCUGAACUACAUUUCAGUCACUCAGUAAAGUGAUAACUCAAAAUAUCAUUGUCAACAGAUCUGAAGAAAUUGCCACUGCGUCUUUAGACCGUUUUCGUCAGACGAGAGACACAGUUCUGACUCUGAUUACU
Molecule: long non-coding RNA, 150 nt
Organism: Schistocerca nitens (vagrant locust)
Lineage: Eukaryota; Metazoa; Arthropoda; Insecta; Orthoptera; Acrididae
Exons: 3
Source: RefSeq, a predicted model, not a curated record